GCGGGCAGCUCAAGGCGCGCGCUCCCGUGAACGCGGGAGGGAGGCGGGGGCGGAGCGCGCGCGGCAGCCAGGAGGGGCCGGGAGGCGGAGUCUUAGGGCGACUGCAGGAAGAGGGCGCCCUGGAGCCGAGCAGGCGCCGGAUGAGGGCGGGACCACGGUGGAGGGGGCGGGGGGAAGGCCUUGACGCUAAGGGGUGGGGUGAAGCGAAGCGGGGACGCGCUUGCGGGGUGGGGAAGGCGGGGGCGCGGCGGUGGCGGGAGCGUCCACGGUCUCCGCCCGUUUCCCACUCUCCUUCCACCUCCCACCGGCUGGGACUCCGGAGAGGCGCCGUGUGCCAGUUCCCGGAGCCGCCCUGCAGCCGCCGCCUCCUUCCUCCGCUGUGGUGAGCCCGUCAGUCUCCGCAGUGUGCGCUCCUCCGUCUGGGCCAUGGAUGGUGUUGUUACAGAUCUUAUAGCAGUCGGUUUAAAGCGGGGAUCUGAUGAGCUUCUUCCUUCUGGCAACAUUGACGGACCUUUUACCAUGAAUAAUUCUACUUCUACAGGUGUGUAUGCUAAUGGGAAUGACAACAAGAAAUUUAAAGGAGAUAGACCUCCCUGUUCGCCUUCCCGUGUUCUCCAUCUUCGCAAAAUUCCAAGUGAUGUCACCGAAGCAGAGGUCAUAUCAUUAGGUCUACCAUUUGGCAAAGUAACUAAUCUUUUGAUGUUGAAAGGAAAAAGCCAGGCUUUCUUGGAAAUGGCUUCUGAGGAAGCUGCUGUUACUAUGGUGAAUUAUUAUACUCCUGUUACUCCUCACCUUCGAAGCCAGCCUGUUUUUAUUCAGUAUUCCAAUCACAGAGAACUUAAGACUGACAAUCUACCUAAUCAAGCUAGAGCCCAAGCUGCACUGCAGGCUGUCAGUGCUGUCCAGUCAGGAAGUCUGGCCCUUCCUGGAGCUCCUACCAAUGAAGGCACAAUCCUACCUGGGCAGAGCCCUGUGCUCCGAAUAAUUAUUGAAAACCUCUUUUACCCUGUUACUCUGGAAGUUCUUCAUCAGAUAUUUUCUAAAUUUGGCACCGUCUUGAAGAUUAUUACCUUUACAAAGAAUAAUCAGUUUCAAGCCUUGCUUCAGUAUGCUGACCCAUUGAAUGCACAUUAUGCCAAACUGGCUCUGGAUGGCCAGAAUAUCUAUAAUGCAUGCUGCACUCUGCGUAUUGACUUCUCCAAGCUCACCAGCCUUAAUGUGAAAUAUAAUAAUGACAAAAGCAGAGACUUCACUCGCUUAGACCUUCCUACUGGUGAUGGCCAGCCAUCUCUUGAACCCCCUAUGGCUGCUGCUUUUGGUGCACCAGGCAUAAUUUCCUCACCAUAUGCAGGGGCUGCUGGAUUUGCCCCAGCCAUUGGAUUUCCUCAAGCUACAGGUCUAUCAGUCCCAGCUGUUCCUGGAGCUCUAGGUCCUCUCACAAUCACCUCCUCUGCUGUCACUGGAAGGAUGGCCAUUCCUGGGGCUAGUGGUAUACCAGGAAAUUCUGUUCUACUCGUCACCAAUCUCAAUCCUGAUCUUAUCACACCACAUGGGCUUUUUAUCUUAUUUGGAGUAUAUGGUGAUGUGCAUCGAGUGAAGAUUAUGUUUAAUAAGAAAGAAAAUGCCUUGGUUCAGAUGGCAGAUGCAAAUCAAGCUCAGCUAGCAAUGAACCAUCUGAGCGGUCAGAGACUGUAUGGGAAAGUGCUUCGAGCGACACUGUCCAAACAUCAAGCAGUGCAGCUUCCUCGGGAGGGACAAGAAGAUCAAGGUCUCACUAAGGAUUUUAGCAAUAGUCCUUUACAUCGCUUUAAAAAGCCUGGUUCUAAAAACUUCCAGAAUAUUUUUCCACCAUCAGCCACUCUGCAUCUUUCCAACAUCCCCCCUUCUGUUACAGUUGAUGAUCUGAAGAACCUUUUUACAGAAGCUGGAUGUUCAGUGAAGGCUUUUAAAUUCUUUCAGAAAGAUCGCAAAAUGGCACUCAUUCAGUUAGGAUCUGUGGAAGAAGCAAUCCAGGCCCUCAUUGAGCUUCAUAACCAUGACCUUGGAGAAAAUCACCACCUCAGAGUUUCCUUUUCAAAAUCUACAAUCUAACUUUUCUGUGAAUUUUUUCUCCUAAGACUGGACCAUAAUUUCAGUAAAACCUUCAGACGUAGACAAGCAGCUCAAGACCAAUUCUGCCUCUUUCACAAAAAUAACUUUCUGAGUUUGAUAUUCAAAUAUAUUUAAGAAAAUCAAGGGAUGUUAUUUUUUCCCAUGUUUUCCCCCCCUGCAAAUAUGUGAUCAAAGGUUUGUUUAUCCUUUGUACCAUAGUUUCUAUGAAAACAACUUUCAGGGAAAAAAAAAUCAGGAAAAAAUUUUUUCCCAAUAAUUUAGUUCCCUAUAUUAAAUUGGGUUUCAAGAGGACAGACUUUCUUUUAGUUUGGGUCCAGAUCAGUCUUAUACAAUAUUUCUAAACUCCUUUGUACUUUGAAAAAUUUAAGCAUACAUAUACUUUUACAAUUACUUGAGGUAAGUAAUUUAUAUUACCUACAAUCAAGUUUUUAACUUGAUGAUUCAGAAGUUCGACCCCUAUAGGAAAUUGUUCACUUAUAAAUUAUAUAGAUUAUUUGGCAUAUAUUGAUAGUUAUUAUACAUAAACAAAAAUUGGGGUAUAUUUGAAGCAAAUUUAUAAACUUGCAUGUUUUCUUUGACUGAUUCCUUUUUUUCUCUGUAAGACACCCCUUUGAAUAAUGCAUAUAUUUAACUUCAUAAGAAUUUGUAGAAAUGAAGUGUCUCAGCUGUCCCCAAGGAAAUUAAGUGGAAUCCAACAAGGAUCUAUUAAGUUGUCAGAAUAAUUAAUAAUUUUAUUAGGAAAACUCAUGUUUUAAAUUUCAGAAUGACACAUUUGCUGAGUAAUAUAAUGUCAUCUUGAAAAUUUAAAAAAAAUCCUACUUAUAAACUACUUUUUUAUAAUUGUUUUCAGAAAAAACGUUUACAGUCUUAAGGAAAUAUUCAGGUCUAUCAUAUGGUUUGACAGAUUUUUUAAAAGUUAUUUUUGGUAAGGUCUUCUUUUAGAAAAAAAAUAAUCUCAAGGGUUUUUUGUACCACUAUAAUCUCUAAUACUUAUUCAGAAUUACUGUGUAUUUACUUAAUUUCUUAUUAUGUGCCUUAUUAUGUGCUUAUGAUACAAUAGGUUAGAGUUUUAUCUAAGUAUCUUGAAAGCUAUAUUGUGGGCUUGGUGAGCAUUUUGUUUUUUCACUCCUUGUUUUGGUAAAGAUUUUAAAGUUUUUUUCAUUGCAAUUUUAAGUGGUUUUCAAUAAGUAAUAGUUUCUAUUUAAAUUUUUGGUGCUUUGGUGCAGAGAUGGGGUGGGGAUGGGUAAAUGGUUUGGAGAGUAACUCAGUACACACCUGUAGGCCUCUUCAUGUGGUGACCAGUAGGUCAUUGCCAGUUACAGUGUACCAAUUUGGGGCUAUACAAUGCAGUCUCAGUUUCUGGAUCUUGUUUGAUCUCUAUCACCCAUUAGAAUUUGUCUCAGGAUUACUUGUUUUUUUCUCAGUACUCAAAAAAGAACUUGCUUUUCUUUGUUACUGUAGCUUCAUUACUCAGUGCCCGUGGAGCUAGAGGAUGAGAAGGUGGUUUUUUUCUCAUACUCUGUCUCUUUCUUUUUGGUUGAAUGUAAGAGUACACUUUAAUGUUGUUUCAGUGGUUAUAAAAUGUAGAACUUUUUUUAAUGAGAAACUUUACUUUCAUUAAUUACUCCAUCAGUGUUUGAUCAGAUUUUUUAAAAGGAGUACUUGUCAAAAGGGUCAUUUUUGUCCACCCCUUUUACACUUUUAAGAUUCUCAGAGUGGCUCAUCUCACCCUUUAAAAAGAAUAUUUCAAUCUCUUUGAUAUAUUUCAACCAUGAAUUUGAACACAGGUUUUUCCAAAAGAAAUGUUAAAAAAUUAGAGACGAUAAAAGAUAGUAUAAAUUGUUAAAAAGUAGAUUCACUCAACACUGAACAACAGUUAGUUGGUUGAACUAAAUGGAAACCUUCAGAUGGAUCAGUUUUAGCAUUAGCUGAAUAGAGAGGAUUAAUCAUUUAUCUAAUUUGAUUUUUUCCAAAUAUAAAGUAUAUUUUUACUGAAACACCAAGUGAGAAGGAAAAUCAAUUUCUUUGAGAAAUCUCCCAAAAUUUGCUUCUUUUUUUUCCUUGCAUAUAGGCACAUUAUAAUUUUUAGUAGCGUGUUACAUCAGAUUAUUUCAUUUGAGGUAGGAAUGACUGUAAUUGUAAUUCCUGAUUCUUACAACAUUCAGUGUAAGUGUAGCAAAAGUGUAGCAGAAAGGAGAUCAUAAUGGGGUUGAAUAUAAUUUUGAAGUAGGGAAAGGCCUUUAAAUCUUAGAACAUUUGAAUCCUUUUCAGGGAUUUGUGUAUGUGUAUAGAUAAGUGUAUAUACAUAUGUACACUCCUCUAAUGUACAUAUAUAUGCACAUUACAUACAUUUUAAUUUAUCGAUAAAAUCAAAUUAAGAUUUGGAAAAGUGAGAUGCUUGUUUAAAAUAGUGUAUUUGAAACCAUCAAUUUGUGUCUGAAAUUAGCUGUAGCACAUGGCUGUUGUCCAUAUUGGGCUAUUUGCUGUUUGAAUUACAGAGGUCUACAGUAUUUGUUGGUAUAGUUUCUGUAAAAAUGUCAGGGGAGUAGAAAAACUAGAUAUUUGUAUUUUUGUUUUGGCAUGCAUUUAUUUGAUAUCUUCUAAGCAAUGUUUUUUUUUGCUGUUUGAGCUGUCAUAGUAUCCUAUUUUUAGGUUUAUUUACUUUAUUUUAAGGAAUAUUGUCUUGUCACUUUUAGAAGUGUCUUUGACUUUACACAAAGUAUAUAUAUUCAGGACUUUAAAAAAUAGCAGUACACAGUUAACAAUAGCAAUUUAUGCCAAAAAGUUUUACUUUGAGAUUUAAAUAACUUGCAUAGCAGUAAAAUGUGUUUUCUGUGAGAUACAAAUAGAAAAUACCCAGUGUCUUAAUUGAUAACUUACUGGAGAGUAUCAGAAUUCCUCAGUAGCCCCUGGAGAAUGCCAUAAAUUGUUUGUGUAAGACUAAAUAUUGUAAUCUGUUAGUUACAGAAAUGUUUCUGAUUCUGUGUUGAAAGAUACAGAUCUCACAGUUUUUAGAGAGACAAUUUCUGCCUGCCUAAUUCCUUAUGGGAGCAAUUCCUCCUUUGGCUCCACCUAGGAUGGUUGAUCAUAGGUUCUGUGUCAGUUGAUAAAAAGUGUGCUCAUGAAUAUCUGUUCAGUUUCAUAUAAACUUUUCAAAGCUUCAAUGUCAUUAGGCAGCAAAGUUUAUACAUUGAGUAUAUUAUCAUGCAGUUUCUCUUCUGUUUCCACAUAAUAUUUUCAGACAAAAGAUGAUAAGCUCAAAAGUAUGUGUUUUACCCUCUCUCACUUAAAAACCCUAUGUUUGCCAAACUGUCAGCCUCUUUUAUAAAACCUAAUGUGUACUGCUAUUUUUAAAACCAAAAAGGCAACAUUACUAUGCGUAAAAGCAUUUUUCUUAGCCUUUCCUUUGUCUUGAUCAGUUGGUAACAAGAAUAAAACCACCAGACUUAAAAUAGUCUACUAUUGUGCUAGAAGAAAUACAAUUUAGAUUGCACAAAACUUUUCCUUUAAAGAAAAUAUAACUCAGCUGUCUUUUAAAACAGCUGUGUUCUUAUCUACAAGACUAUUUGCAGUCUUUUUUCAGAGCAAAUUCUAACCGUUGUGAAUGACUUAAAAUAUAGGAAAUUACUGAAAUACUAGUUUUUGGUGUUUUAUAGAGGGAGAGAAAACAGGACCAAAGUUUAUGUGCCUUCUUCAGUAGUCUUAAUUGACCUUUUCUUCCUAUUUGAGACCAAGGUAGUAGUAUCAGUAUUCUGGUUUCAGGAAAUAUGUACUAUGUAGUUUUAAAAGAAUGUUAUCCCAUAGGCUAUUCACACAAGCAGAAAAUUGUAGCUGUAUAAAUGAAGUCUCAGUUACACUUUUGCCUUUAUCACAUAUUCUUCAUUAUGUAACAUGCAGGUCCAAGAGCAGAGCUGCUCUACAUCUUUGUGGCAGUCAUCUUAGUUUUUGUAACCUGAGGCAUAUGUUCCAGAGAACAGGGAUAUUUGUCUGGUCCAGUGACCUUGGUGAUACUUGUCAUGAUUGAAAGCUGCUUAUGGCAAGCUUAAGUCAACACUGUAAACAGGUUUUUGUUGUUAUUUUCAGUUUUGGAUCUAUGUAGUAGUUGUAAUAACAAAUAUUUAAAUAGCUAUUUUUGAUGUCAUUUAAUAAAAAUCAUAACUCUGGCCUUUUUCCCCCCUUAGCAUUAUUACCCAUAUUUUUUAAGAAUUCAUCCCACAUCCAGAAAAUAUUAAUUGUAGGGAUUGCUGACCAAGCAAAGUUUUGCAUCAAAAUGUCACCUCCUUGCUCUGACCAAAGACUGGCUGUUCUGGUUUUAACUCCUCUCUGUUCAGCAUUCUUUCCCAAGCUCCUUUCUGAAAGAAGACCCAGUGCAAAGCAGCCUUUGCUUUCUAUUUCCUAUUGGUGAAUAGACUACUUAGAGAAAAUGGGGGUUUAAAUGUGAACAGAAUGGGUUUGAUGGGCAUUUUCAGUACUGUAUUUAAGAAAAAAAAAAUAGCACAGCUAGGAGCCUCUGACAUUGUCUUGUGUUCUACAUGGUCUGUUCAUAAAAUUCCCUUUUUCAGUUUGUAAGAAUGUUCAUCUAACAGAAGAAAAUGCUGUAAAUAUUUGUAGCAACAUUUUUUUUUUUAACCAGGCCAAAAAAAAAAAAAAUGUUUUGGGGAACAAGUUAACAUAUAAAGUGGUUUUAUAUAAAAUGUCAAUUGUCUUGUAUAUUUUGAUAAGCAGCAGUACCAGCUUUCAUUUGUAACACAGUUUGUGGCAUUGGAAGAAAAGGAUUCUGUGAUUGUUGAAGUGAAUUAUGUUAUAAAUGCAAAGAGAAGAUAAAAUAUUAAAAAACAUAUUUUCUAAAUGCGAAGUGCAUGGUUAAUUCAAGCUUCUGUACACUACAAUAUAAUCCAUUUUUGUUCAGUUUGUAUAUUUGCUGACUAUUACUUGGUAUCUCUAAUCUCUUUUCCUAACAAGUAUAGCAUUGUAGCAUGCCUUUUAAUAAAUGUCAUGACAUCUGUACGCUCUUAAAAUU
Molecule: non-coding RNA, 7132 nt
Organism: Manis javanica (Malayan pangolin)
Lineage: Eukaryota; Metazoa; Chordata; Mammalia; Pholidota; Manidae
Source: RefSeq, a predicted model, not a curated record